RNAcentral lists this ribosomal RNA (831 nucleotides) under Microvirga sp. RNAcentral's name for it is "bacterial SSU rRNA". It matches the Rfam family "Bacterial small subunit ribosomal RNA", at positions 97 to 978 of the family's 1533-position model. The record is from RNAcentral. Lineage: Bacteria; Pseudomonadati; Pseudomonadota; Alphaproteobacteria; Hyphomicrobiales; Methylobacteriaceae.
UGUAGACGGGUGAGUACGCGUGGGACGUGCCCUUCAGUUCGGAAUAACCCAGGGAAACUUGGGCUAAUACCGGAUACGUGCGAGAGCAGAAAGAUUUAUCGCUGAAGGAUCGGCCCGCGUCUGAUUAGCUAGUUGGUGAGGUAAUGGCUCACCAAGGCGACGAUCAGUAGCUGGUCUGAGAGGAUGAUCAGCCACAUUGGGACUGAGACACGGCCCAAACUCCUACGGGAGGCAGCAGUGGGGAAUAUUGGACAAUGGGCGCAAGCCUGAUCCAGCCAUGCCGCGUGAGUGAUGAAGGCCUUAGGGUUGUAAAGCUCUUUCGUCCGGGACGAUAAUGACGGUACCGGAAGAAGAAGCCCCGGCUAACUUCGUGCCAGCAGCCGCGGUAAUACGAAGGGGGCUAGCGUUGUUCGGAAUCACUGGGCGUAAAGGGCGCGUAGGCGGCUUGAUAAGUCGGGGGUGAAAGCCUGUGGCUCAACCACAGAAUUGCCUUCGAUACUGUCUGGCUUGAGACCGGAAGAGGUAAGUGGAACUGCGAGUGUAGAGGUGAAAUUCGUAGAUAUUCGCAAGAACACCAGUGGCGAAGGCGGCUUACUGGUCCGGUUCUGACGCUGAGGCGCGAAAGCGUGGGGAGCAAACAGGAUUAGAUACCCUGGUAGUCCACGCCGUAACGAUGAAUGCCAGCCGUUGGCGAGCUUGCUCGUCAGUGGCGCAGCUAACGCUUUAAGCAUUCCGCCUGGGGAGUACGGUCGCAGAUUAAACUCAAGGAAUUGACGGGGCCCGCACAGCGUGAGCAUGUGGUUUAUUCGAGCACGCGCAGACCUUACCAGC